Molecule: transfer RNA, 76 nt
Filed under: Morganella morganii
Lineage: Bacteria; Pseudomonadati; Pseudomonadota; Gammaproteobacteria; Enterobacterales; Morganellaceae
Also listed under: 6 other names
Description: tRNA-His(gtg)
Rfam family: tRNA
About the family: Transfer RNA (tRNA) molecules are approximately 80 nucleotides in length.
Source: RNAcentral
GUGGGUAUAGCUCAGGUGGUAGAGCGCCAGAUUGUGGUUCUGGAUGCCAAGGGUUCGAGUCCCUUUAUCCACCCCA